UACGUAGGUGGCAAGCGUUAUCCGGAAUUACUGGGCGUAAAGCGCACGCAGGCGGUCUUUUAAGUUUGACGUGAAAGCUCCCGGCUUAACUGGGAGAGGUCGUUGAAGACUGGAAGACUUGAGGCAAUGAGAGGGGUGUAGAAUUCCCGGUGUAGUGGUGGAAUGCGUAGAUAUCUGGAGGAACACCGGUGGCGAAGGCGGCGUCCUGGACCAACACUGACACUGAUGAGCGAAAGCCAGGGGAGCAAACGGG
RNAcentral lists this ribosomal RNA (253 nucleotides) under uncultured bacterium. RNAcentral's name for it is "partial 16S ribosomal RNA". It matches the Rfam family "Bacterial small subunit ribosomal RNA", at positions 524 to 776 of the family's 1533-position model. The record is from RNAcentral.